Non-coding RNA from Pelobates cultripes (western spadefoot toad), 348 nucleotides. The record is from the annotation of a GenBank genome assembly. Lineage: Eukaryota; Metazoa; Chordata; Amphibia; Anura; Pelobatidae.
AACAUUUCAUCGAUGCAGCUUCCUGAGUUACAGACUUGGUACCAGAUGCACCUCCAAAGAGCACAGGACCGUGUGCGAAACAUCUUGGAGCAAGCCCGGAAACCAUUUGUAUCCAGUUCUAUUCCGAUGAGCAACCGACCCAAAAGGUUCCUCACCGCUAUAAUUGUUGCAUUAGUUUGUGCCACUGUCGGUGCAGUUGUCGCAACUGGAAUGUCUGCAGCCAACUCUAUUACUGUCCAAAAGCUGGAUAUGGAAAUCUAUGCGCUAAAGCAACACAUUAACGAUAUUCAUCAGGUGAUACAACAGCAAAGAACACUUCUCCAAGACGUGUUAACUAUUGUGGAAGAC